This 241-nucleotide long non-coding RNA is filed under the name Elaeis guineensis (African oil palm). RNAcentral describes it as "long non-coding RNA (EGUI_LNC004660)". The record is from RNAcentral. Lineage: Eukaryota; Viridiplantae; Streptophyta; Magnoliopsida; Arecales; Arecaceae.
AGCCCUUGAUUAACUUUCUUUUGUGCAUGAUCAUUGGAUUCCGUAUUCUAGCAAGUAAUAGGCCCAAGCUCAUAUAUACCUAACUUAAUUAGAACUCUUCUAAUCCAUCAGACCCAAAACAUAUUAAGUCCAUAUGUUAAAAUUAAUAAGAACUCUUCUAAACUAAUUGUUGAAUUAAAUUCUUUAAUUCAUAAGAAUCUAUAAGUCAAUAUUGAUAUCUAGCAAUGCAUCAUGACUACCC